GGUUAGUAACGGAAAUCUAUGGAACAGUUCACCCUGCCCAGGAUAGGGUACGUUGGUCCCACCCUGGAGCCAGCCCUGGGGAGGGUGACCGAGGGUGAGCACCAGCUAGCCGGGCCUUAGUCAAUGGGGCCAGGCUUUGCACCACCCAAACAGGGGACAUGGGCCCAUCCUCCUGUAGGCCCACCACCCCCAGAAGGUGCCUUGGAGGUCAGGUGCAGUGUUUGCCAGGUGGCAGACAAGGGUAGAGACCCUGGUGGACUGAUCCCCAUCUACACAGGAACAUCACCUCUCUGAAUCAAAAACAAUUACUUUUACCUUUUUACACUUUUUACAGAGAAUUGAGAAACUUGGUUUAUUAAAAAUAGGAAGAGGAUAAUUCUUGAAAAUCCCAGGGAUUUAGGUAUUCAGGCUCUGGUAAAUACGUCUGUGGUUUAACCAUGGUGCUGACAGAGUUAGAAAAAAGAAAAAAGAGUAAAUAUUUGACACAACUGUGUAGCCUUGGACAGGUCACUGCAUGAGAA
Molecule: long non-coding RNA, 521 nt
Organism: Oreochromis niloticus (Nile tilapia)
Lineage: Eukaryota; Metazoa; Chordata; Actinopteri; Cichliformes; Cichlidae
Exons: 2
Source: RefSeq, a predicted model, not a curated record